This 497-nucleotide ribosomal RNA is filed under the name uncultured bacterium. RNAcentral's name for it is "partial 16S ribosomal RNA". It matches the Rfam family "Bacterial small subunit ribosomal RNA", at positions 28 to 507 of the family's 1533-position model. The record is from RNAcentral.
GAUGAACGCUGGCGGUAUGCCUAACACAUGCAAGUCGAGCGAACACACAGUGAGCUCUCUCUUUUGACGUUAGCGACUGACGGGUGGGUAAGACGUGCAUAACCAUCUUAUUUGACUUGGAUGAUUACGUGAAACCGGUUCCAAUACUACCGCAUACGACGUACGGCAGGGAGCAAUAGUUAUUGGCGCCUUUCGCGUUUGAUAUAGCUGGUGUCGCGCCGGAUUAGCUAGUUGGUAAGGUAACAGCAUACCAAGGCGACGAUGCGUAGCCGACCUGAGAGGGUGAUCGGCCACACUGGAACUGAGACACGGUCCAGACUCCUACGGGAGGCAGCAGUAGGGAAUCUUCCGCAAUGGGCGAAAGCCUGACGGAGCAACGCCGCGUGAGUGAUGAAGGUCUUCGGAUCGUAAAGCUCUGUUAUUAGGAAAGAAAAAAUGUAGAUGAAACUAUGCCCGUCUUGACGGUACCUAAUCAAAAAGCAACGGCUAACUACGUG